Molecule: long non-coding RNA, 601 nt
Organism: Girardinichthys multiradiatus
Lineage: Eukaryota; Metazoa; Chordata; Actinopteri; Cyprinodontiformes; Goodeidae
Exons: 2
Source: RefSeq, a predicted model, not a curated record
AGGGUGCAACAGGCAGGCGCAGCCACACAGCUGAAGAUAAUCUGGCCUACUCAAAUGGUGCUUCUUAAGCAGCAGGAACCCUGAAGGAGACGUCAGAUUGUUAACUAACCUGAGGGUUAUCAGACCAGCAGACUAAGCACUGGCUCUCAUGCUCUGCGAUCUUGUCUUUACUCACAUUUGCUUGCGCCUCUGUAGAGUGGAAAGGACCUCCGAGGACCCAGACCUGGUUUCUCUCUAUCUAUGUUCCGAGUCCAAGUUCGCACUUGGCUGAAGGCACUUCACUCUGCUUCCCCAAUCAAGAGUCUCCUUCAGCUUUUUGCAACCAGCAAACCCAAAGAAAGUACUAACCUUUCUUCUGGAUCAUCUGCCUGCAAGCCUCCUGCCUGUCCACCCCCUAACUUCACAUACACCACCUGGGAGGAAACCCACCAGAACAACCACCACCUCUCCGCAACCUAAGCUGUCAAACUCGGCCUCCAUGGUCUCACUCACCUUCCCCUGGAAACUCCAUUUCUUUUUAACAUGCCCCGACCAGCAGAACAUGGAUUCCCUGAUGACCCUGUUCCAUUUUCCUGUUUAUCAAUAAACCGGUUUAACUAAA